RNAcentral lists this ribosomal RNA (253 nucleotides) under uncultured bacterium. Its description in RNAcentral is "partial 16S ribosomal RNA". It matches the Rfam family "Bacterial small subunit ribosomal RNA", at positions 524 to 776 of the family's 1533-position model. The record is from RNAcentral.
UACGGAGGAUCCAAGCGUUAUCCGGAUUCAUUGGGUUUAAAGGGCGCGUAGGCGGAAUGAUAAGUCAGUGGUGAAAUCUCUCGGCUUAACCGAGAAACUGCCAUUGAUACUGUCAAUCUUGAGUACAUUUGAUGUGGGCGGAAUGUGUCAUGUAGCGGUGAAAUGCUUAGAUAUGACGCGGAACACCGAUUGCGAAGGCAGCUCACAGAACUGUAACUGACGCUGAGGCGCGAAAGCGUGGGUAUCAAACAGG